GACGAACGCUGGCGGCGUGCUUAACACAUGCAAGUCGAACGGAAAGGCCCUGCUUUUGUGGGGUGCUCGAGUGGCGAACGGGUGAGUAACACGUGAGUAACCUGCCCUUGACUUUGGGAUAACUUCAGGAAACUGGGGCUAAUACCGGAUAGGAGCUCCUGCUGCAUGGUGGGGGUUGGAAAGUUUCGGCGGUUGGGGAUGGACUCGCGGCUUAUCAGCUUGUUGGUGGGGUAGUGGCUUACCAAGGCUUUGACGGGUAGCCGGCCUGAGAGGGUGACCGGCCACAGUGAGAAUGACGUACCACCCAAACUCCUCCGGGAGGCAGCAGUAGGAAAUAUUGCACAAUGGGCGGAAGCAUGAUGCAGCAACGCCGCGUGCGGGAUGACGGCCUUCGAGUUGUAGACCGCUUUCGCCUGUAACGAAGCUUGAGUGACGGUAAUGGGUAAAGAAGCACCGGCUAACUACGUG
RNAcentral lists this ribosomal RNA (468 nucleotides) under uncultured bacterium. RNAcentral describes it as "partial 16S ribosomal RNA". It matches the Rfam family "Bacterial small subunit ribosomal RNA", at positions 28 to 507 of the family's 1533-position model. The record is from RNAcentral.